UCCCGGGUGGUCCAGUGGUUAGGACUCUGUGCUUCCACUGCAGGGGCACAGGUUUGCUCCCUGGUCAGGGAA
RNAcentral lists this transfer RNA (72 nucleotides) under Bos taurus (domestic cattle). It matches the Rfam family "tRNA". From Rfam's summary of the family: Transfer RNA (tRNA) molecules are approximately 80 nucleotides in length. The record is from Rfam by way of RNAcentral. Lineage: Eukaryota; Metazoa; Chordata; Mammalia; Artiodactyla; Bovidae.